UGAUGACAAGAUGUCCCUCCGGCUCCACUACCGGAUGAGCCUUUGUUCCAGUGGAGAAGCUACACAUUAUGUUUGGUCUCCUCAGCCUGAUGCUGUCUGAGUAUCUGACCUAAAGGCUUCCAAGACAAAGAUGGUCCCACAGGGCUCUCAGCAGCCUGGAAGAAUAUCGUUGUUCAGACCAGAUUGAAGAUUGUGUUCUGCCCAGAGGGAGUUUGUUGGGCCCUCAUCUCUACCAGAUCCAAGGACUGUUUCUCACAGAGACUCAGUAGGAUGUGGAAGAAGAAGGCCGUGGCUCCGUUGGCUCAGGGAACAUCUGCCUUUUCCCCUCCUGCCACCUCCCCUGGCAGUGGAGGGUGACCUGUCUCUCUCCUUGGCACCUCAUCAGAGAUUCUUCUCUCUUGGACAACACCCUCCAUCCUCGGAACCCUUUUCUUUCCUUAUCUCGGGAAACCUUCCAUAUUGUACCUACUUCUCAUUCUCUUAUUACUGCCUUCCUCCGCCAUCAAACAGCAUUUACCCCUCCUGUUG
RNAcentral lists this long non-coding RNA (528 nucleotides) under Homo sapiens (human). RNAcentral's name for it is "non-protein coding lnc-ITGB3BP-13:1". The record is from RNAcentral. Lineage: Eukaryota; Metazoa; Chordata; Mammalia; Primates; Hominidae.